This 493-nucleotide ribosomal RNA is filed under the name uncultured bacterium. Its description in RNAcentral is "partial 16S ribosomal RNA". It matches the Rfam family "Bacterial small subunit ribosomal RNA", at positions 29 to 523 of the family's 1533-position model. The record is from RNAcentral.
AUUGAACGCUGGCGGCAUGCUUUACACAUGCAAGUCGAACGGUAACAGGUUAAGCUGACGAGUGGCGAACGGGUGAGUAAUGCGUCGGAACGUGCCCGGUCGUGGGGGAUAACACUUCGAAAGAAGUGCUAAUACCGCAUACGAUCUGAGGAUGAAAGCGGGGGACCGUAAGGCCUCGCGCGAUCGGAGCGGCCGAUGUCAGAUUAGGUAGUUGGUGGGGUAAAGGCCUACCAAGCCGACGAUCUGUAGCUGGUCUGAGAGGACGACCAGCCACAGUGGGACUGAGAAACGGCCCGGACUCCUGCGGGAGGCAGGAGUGGGGAAUGUUGAAAAAUGGGCGCAAGCCUGACCCAGCAAUGCCGGGUGCAGGAAGAAGGCUUUGGGGUUGUAAACUGCUUUUGUAGGGAGCGAAAGGGCUCUCUCUAAUACAGGGGGCUGAUGACGGUACCGUAAGAAUAAGCACCGGAUAACUACGUGCCAGCCGCCGCGGUAA